UUGCGAAUUUUCAAACUUUCGUUCAAAAUUCGACUUUAGUGAUCUACUAGACACUGGUUUUAGUUCAAAGUAAUCAGUUAGGCGUAAACUGUGAAUACGGGACGUUUAAAUAACACCAAGCGUACUAACCAUAAUUAACCAACGUAAAUUCAAUAAAUAUGAAAAUAAAGAGGGAAAAAGGCAUAUUCCUACCCUAAUAAAAUCUAUGAGAGGGGACAUGAGUGGCAUCAAAAUCCAAAGGAAGAGAGGGUACAAUUAACAUCACCAUAAAUUCCAAAGCCAAAAUUUAAAUUAAUGAGAAGAAGAAAAACAUGGAGAUGAUAAAGGGACAAGUUACAUCAAAUAAAAUUCAGGGGCGAAAACAUCUUAAACCCUACUUUUGUUCCUUGCCUUGUCUACAUCCUCCUCUUUAACCCUUUUCUCUCCUUUUGUUUCUAUCCCAAAAAACUCUCAUGAGUUUUCAAAUCAACGUACCCCAAAUUUUUCAAUCGAAUUUUGGGUCACUUUGUCUUAUAUAUCACAUCAUUUUGUCGUGUUUUAUCAAUGUGUAUCUACUUUGUCUGAUCAAUAUAUAUAUCUACUGAUCACUAUGGAAUUCACAUGAAAUUGUAAACCAGUGAAUAAUAUAAAUUCUCGGUCCAGCCUACAUGAUUACAAAAAAAUGCGCCCGCACACAUAAAUGGAUUGUAU
Arabidopsis thaliana (thale cress) is the source of this 690-nucleotide long non-coding RNA. RefSeq annotates it as other RNA. The transcript has a single exon. NCBI's taxonomy places the organism in Eukaryota, Viridiplantae, Streptophyta, Magnoliopsida, Brassicales, Brassicaceae. The record is from RefSeq.